AGCAUGUCUUAGAUCCAGCCAUUUUAAAGGUUCGGUGCAGCAUUGAAUAGUACCCUGGUUUGGUUAGUGGAUUGUUUUGGGAAACCAACAGUUUGAUAAUGUUGUCAAGCUCUGCUGUUGUAGAGGAAGGUAUGGCUGCAAGAAGCUGGAGUAUAACGGCAUUACUUGUUCCUGUGUAUAUAAAAUGUGGCGAAGGGCAAUUAUUUUGAGGAUGUUUU
This 218-nucleotide unclassified non-coding RNA is filed under the name Hevea brasiliensis (rubber tree). Lineage: Eukaryota; Viridiplantae; Streptophyta; Magnoliopsida; Malpighiales; Euphorbiaceae. The record is from RNAcentral.